AACAAACGCUGGCGGCGUGCCUAACACAUGCAAGUCGAACGUGAUUGAGAGCUUGCUCUCAUGAAAGUGGCGCACGGGUGAGUAACGCGUAGAUAAUCUACCUGAUGGAUCGGGAUAACACUUCGAAAGGGGUGCUAAUACCGGAUAAGCCCACGGAGUCCUUGGACACUGCGGGAAAAGGGGGGACCUUUUAGGCCUUCCGUCAUCAGAUGAGUCUGCGUACCAUUAGCUAGUUGGUAGGGUAAAGGCCUACCAAGGCGACGAUGGUUAGCUGGUCUGAGAGGAUGAUCAGCCACACUGGAACUGAGACACGGUCCAGACUCCUACGGGAGGCUG
This 336-nucleotide ribosomal RNA is filed under the name uncultured Pseudomonadota bacterium. Its description in RNAcentral is "bacterial SSU rRNA". It matches the Rfam family "Bacterial small subunit ribosomal RNA", at positions 29 to 351 of the family's 1533-position model. The record is from RNAcentral. Lineage: Bacteria; Pseudomonadati; Pseudomonadota.